This 3808-nucleotide long non-coding RNA is filed under the name Fragaria vesca (wild strawberry). RNAcentral describes it as "long non-coding RNA (FVES_LNC001815)". Lineage: Eukaryota; Viridiplantae; Streptophyta; Magnoliopsida; Rosales; Rosaceae. The record is from RNAcentral.
UUCAACAAUUUGGAGAAUAAGAAAGGUCUCAAGAGCUCUCUCUUCUUCGUUUCGAGAAUCAAAGGCAUCGUAACAAAGCAAAGGUAAGUGAACUUAUUUGAUUCACUAUAAUAUGUCCAGUGUAAUACCCCGGAAUUUUAAUAUUAGUUUCUAAUAUUCUUUUGGAAAUUAUUUAAGUAAGAGUUGUAUGGAUUUGUGGUUUAGCGAGUGGACUGGAAGUAGUCGAGUUUUUAAUUCCGUGAAAAUGCUCUAUUUUGAAGGGUUAAGAGUUGACUUUUUAAUCAGUUGGGUUUCUCGGGAAACUUUCUUCACGAAAGCUGUAGAGUAUGGCGAUACGAGUUCGUAGACACGUGACACGCGUAAAACGGACUUCGUAUGAAGAAGUUAUGGUCAGCAGAAGUCCGUGGUUUUUCAGAAAACCCUCUUUUUCUCUUCCCUUCUCUCCCGCACCUCACCCUCACUGUCAAAGUUUUUCAGCUGACCGACCCGGACCCGGAUGACCCGACCCGAGUUUUCCGGCCGACUCCGGCCGACCCAGACGACGGCACCGGUCGGAAAAUCUUCCUCUCCUCGGCGCAAUCUUCCCUGUGUUAGUGAGUGAGGGCGACUCGGCCGGAUCGAUGCUAAUCGAUCGCCAACAGGGAGGGCAGCGACCCGGUUUGCAACCCGACCGGAAUUCUCCCUCCGGCGGCGGCGACGCAGCUUGGAACCGAUCGGGAUAGGCUCUCCUUGGUGCCCUGGUUCUUUUUCUGGUAGUCUCCUAGCAUGACUCACGGUGUAGAGUUACAGUGGUGGAUUUCCACCUUCCUACGAGUUUCCGGCAUGCUCCGGCCGUUUUAGGUGAAACCUCAGGUAUAAAAGAUGCUCCUCUCUCUUCAAUCUACAAGUUUUGUGUUAUGAGCUUGGGCUAAUUCGUAGGUUGGUAGGGUGGCGCGUGGGGCCCACUUGCCGCCGGCGCGUGGCGGCGCCUUCGGCAGAGAUUGGGUGGUUAGGAGUAAUUGUUAGGUUGUGCUUGUCGAUACGAGUACGUGAGCAUGUAGAUUGUAGGUUUCAAUGUUGCUUGAGUAUGUUGGGGCUUUGCCGAAAGUCGUUUCUUUCGGUGUUGGUUUAUGGAAUCUGAACAUAGAGGUAAUCAUUUUUGGUUAUCAUAGGCUGUUCAUGGGUUUCGGUGACCUUGGGAGGUCUCAUACGAGGAUUGCCUCGUUAUGGUAAAUCUUUGGGUUAGGUUUUAGCUAGUUGGCGUAAAGGGUAAUCACUUGGUUGUUAGUGACAAAGUUGGUCAUUAAGUUGAUCGCUUGUUUUGUUGGUCACUAAGUUGUUUUGUGCUACCUAGGUGAUUGACAAAGUUGGUGUUGUGCUUGUGUUGUGCGUGCGAAGACGCAGCUGGAUUUGAGGUGAGUAACAUCUCACCAAGGUCCACUUUGGGACCAAAUAUUUAUAAAUUAUUAUGAUGAUGAUUGUGAUGUUGAUUUUGGAGNNNNNNNNNNNNNNNNNNNNUUUUCUGUUAAAAAUAAAUCUUUCAAAAGGACUUUCGAUCAUGUGAUAUGGUGAUGUUGAAAUAUGGUUGUUGAUAGAUUAUUCUAGUGGGAAUAUCUAUGUCUUUGUUUAUAUAAAUAUAUCUAGGUGGAAAGAUAUAAUUUAUGAAGUGCUCUUGUGAUGUUGUUGAUGAUAUUUUUAUAUUUGAAUUGUUGUUUAAAUAGUCAAACCGGGUUCCUAGCCUUUAAUCGGGUGAUAGGUUACGGUUAUGAUUAUAUUAUUAUUUUGUGAUUUGAUAAGUGUUAUGUUGGGAGAGUAUUGGAAUGUGUGCCUUAGUGGUGAUUGUGUGCAUUAGUUGUGUAUGUGUGUGCCUUAGUGGUGAUUGUGUGCAUUAGUUGUGUAUGUGUGUGCCUUUGUGGUGAUUAUUAGAUUAGGAGCCUUCGUGGUGGACCGGGAACCAAGCCUUGGCCGGGUGAUUGGUUACGGUCAGUAUAGAGCUCUAGUCUGUCAGUUGGUACUUCAUAGGGGAUGACUAAGUGUUGGCGAACCCAUGAGUACGCAUUUGUUUGGUUACUUAUGGGGGAUGACUAAGUGUUGGCGAACUCAUAAGUAAGAGUAGAGAAAUGUUUGUGUGAUGUUCUUAUGUGUUGUUUAAAUUUCUUGCUUUGAGUAUCUCUUGAACUAUGCUUAUUCGCAGGAGAUUCUUAAAUCUUAAUUGUGUGAUUUUAAUAGAAUUCUUGAACUAUGUUUAUUUGUAGGAUUCAUUUAUGAUUUUGAGUGAUUUUAAAUUAUUAUGUUUUCUUAAUUGUUUCUUUUGAAUUCUCUUACUUUUAGGCGAUUCCUGAACUAAGUUGCUAAUACAGGAAUUACCAGUUUUAAUUAUAUGUGAUGUUGGGAUUGUUGGGUUAUUAUUUUGGGAGUUACUCAUACGAGCUUUUUAGCUUACUGGGUUUGUUGUUUACAACCCGGUGCACCAACUCAUAGUGUAGGGGUUAGACCUGUAGGUGAUGAUCAGAAGGUAGGAGGCAGUGGCCUACGAGCUAGGUUUUUGACGAUAUACAAUUAUUUGUUUUUUAUGGUAGUUGUUUUUAAGCUCAUGUAAGCGAAGUAGUUUUUAGUUGACUUUUGGAAGUUAAUGUAAUUAAGGAGAUUAAAUGUUUAACUCGGUUGAUGAGUUUAUCGACAUUUAUAUUUUCAGUAUUUGUUUUUAGUUUUAGAAAUUGUUGAGCAGGAUUAUGGGAUAUUAAGAUUUUGAGUUUUAUCAUGCCCAAAUUUUUGAAAAUUUUAUCCUUCGAAAAUUGGGGUGUGACAGUUUGGUAUCAGAGCAUAGGUUUACAUAUUUGGUGAUAAUCAAUAUUUUGAAAUGAUGGCCCGACUGCAGCGGAUCACCAUCAUAAGCUCUUCGGUAUUGAUAUGUCAUUGGGUAUGUGAAGGGUUAGGUGUUGUCUCUAGGUCAAUAGGAUGUCAGAGUAGAGAAUAGUCUGUUAGUGGGAUUUUGAAUCUUGGUGGUCCAUCUUAAGUUAGUGCCUUGGUUAAUAAAUGUCGCAUUUGACUUAUACUUGGAUUUAAGUUCUAUGCAUGAGUUAACCAAGGUUUACUUGCUUCUUAGGUGAUGGAUCCUCAGCGAGGGAGAGCUAGAGGCAGAGGUAGGGCCAGAGGGGCCCGUAGAGCCAGAGGGGCAGGUGAGGCCAGAGGCAGAGGUAGUUGUUUUUAAGCUCAUGUAAGCGAAGUAGUUGUUACUAGACUUUUGGAAAUUAAUGUAAUUAAGGAGAUUAAAUGUUUAACUCGGUUGAUGAGUUUAUCGACAUUUAUAUUUCCAGUAUUUGUUUUUAGUUUUGGAAAUUAUUGAGCAGGAUUAUGGGAUAUUAAGAUUUUGAGUUUUAUAAUGCCCAAAUUUUUGAAAAUUUUAUCCUUCGAAAAUUAGGGUGUGACAUCCGGUCCUAAAUUUGGUUGUUUGGUGAAGUUCUAAACUACUAUAUCUUGUCCUACAUAUGUACAGGUUUUGAAAGUAAACUUAUAAAACAGAUAACCACAUAUGCCCUAGUUUGAUGCAAUGUGAAACUGAGCCGUUUGAUGCAAUUGUUUCUUACUUUAAUUGAUGCUCUUAUUGAUCCUCGAAGGCUGGGUACAUCUUUCAACGUAAAGGCAGUUGAUGAAUUUGUCUCAGACUCUUGUUUAUGGAUACUUCAAAAUUAUUCUCGUGCCCAGAUUCUUUUGAAGAAUUCAGUUUUAUUCUGUAUAAAUAUAUAUAUAUAUAUAUAUUAUAUAUAUAUAUAUAGGCCGGAUGUGGAGCGCACGUCCGCACUGUCCUUAAAGUGCGCACGUCCCUCCG